AUAAUCAGUAUUCAUUGUUUACGAGUUUUUUUCAACUAUAAUAGCUUUCAUAUAAUUUGGUUUUUUCUUUUAAUAUUUUAUUUAUAUAAUAUUUAUUGUAGUAGUUUGAAUGGCUAAUUUUAGUUAUUUUUCAGGGUAAAUAUUUAUUUUAUUUCGAGUCUUGCUAUGUAUUUAAAGAGCUAAUUUUAUAAAGAUCUUUUUUUUCUAGCUGUAUAGUCCAGAUAACCAGCCCUUUUACUAUUAAACUAUCUUUAGCUAUUUUUUAUU
RNAcentral lists this long non-coding RNA (267 nucleotides) under Populus trichocarpa (black cottonwood). RNAcentral's name for it is "long non-coding RNA (PTRI_LNC000954)". Lineage: Eukaryota; Viridiplantae; Streptophyta; Magnoliopsida; Malpighiales; Salicaceae. The record is from RNAcentral.